Molecule: ribosomal RNA, 1372 nt
Filed under: uncultured bacterium
Lineage: Bacteria
Description: bacterial SSU rRNA
Rfam family: Bacterial small subunit ribosomal RNA
Source: RNAcentral
GAUGAACGCUGGCGGCGUGCCUAAUACAUGCAAGUCGAGCGAACGGACGAGAAGCUUGCUUUUCUGAUGUUAGCGGCGGACGGGUGAGUAACACGUGGAUAACCUACCUAUAAGACUGGGAUAACUUCGGGAAACCGGAGCUAAUACCGGAUAAUAUUUUGAACCGCAUGGUUCAAAAGUGAAAGACGGUCUUGCUGUCACUUAUAGAUGGAUCCGCGCUGCAUUAGCUAGUUGGUAAGGUAACGGCUUACCAAGGCAACGAUGCAUAGCCGACCUGAGAGGGUGAUCGGCCACACUGGAACUGAGACACGGUCCAGACUCCUACGGGAGGCAGCAGUAGGGAAUCUUCCGCAAUGGGCGAAAGCCUGACGGAGCAACGCCGCGUGAGUGAUGAAGGUCUUCGGAUCGUAAAACUCUGUUAUUAGGGAAGAACAUAUGUGUAAGUAACUGUGCACAUCUUGACGGUACCUAAUCAGAAAGCCACGGCUAACUACGUGCCAGCAGCCGCGGUAAUACGUAGGUGGCAAGCGUUAUCCGGAAUUAUUGGGCGUAAAGCGCGCGUAGGCGGUUUUUUAAGUCUGAUGUGAAAGCCCACGGCUCAACCGUGGAGGGUCAUUGGAAACUGGAAAACUUGAGUGCAGAAGAGGAAAGUGGAAUUCCAUGUGUAGCGGUGAAAUGCGCAGAGAUAUGGAGGAACACCAGUGGCGAAGGCGACUUUCUGGUCUGUAACUGACGCUGAUGUGCGAAAGCGUGGGGAUCAAACAGGAUUAGAUACCCUGGUAGUCCACGCCGUAAACGAUGAGUGCUAAGUGUUAGGGGGUUUCCGCCCCUUAGUGCUGCAGCUAACGCAUUAAGCACUCCGCCUGGGGAGUACGACCGCAAGGUUGAAACUCAAAGGAAUUGACGGGGACCCGCACAAGCGGUGGAGCAUGUGGUUUAAUUCGAAGCAACGCGAAGAACCUUACCAAAUCUUGACAUCCUUUGACAACUCUAGAGAUAGAGCCUUCCCCUUCGGGGGUCAAAGUGACAGGUGGUGCAUGGUUGUCGUCAGCUCGUGUCGUGAGAUGUUGGGUUAAGUCCCGCAACGAGCGCAACCCUUAAGCUUAGUUGCCAUCAUUAAGUUGGGCACUCUAAGUUGACUGCCGGUGACAAACCGGAGGAAGGUGGGGAUGACGUCAAAUCAUCAUGCCCCUUAUGAUUUGGGCUACACACGUGCUACAAUGGACAAUACAAAGGGCAGCGAAACCGCGAGGUCAAGCAAAUCCCAUAAAGUUGUUCUCAGUUCGGAUUGUAGUCUGCAACUCGACUACAUGAAGCUGGAAUCGCUAGUAAUCGUAGAUCAGCAUGCUACGGUGAAUACGUUCCCGGGUCU